This 324-nucleotide ribosomal RNA is filed under the name uncultured eukaryote. Its description in RNAcentral is "partial 18S ribosomal RNA". It matches the Rfam family "Eukaryotic small subunit ribosomal RNA", at positions 1470 to 1796 of the family's 1831-position model. The record is from RNAcentral.
CCCUUAGAUGUUCUGGGCCGCACGCGCGCUACACUGAUGCAUUCAACGAGUUUCUUCCUGGUCCGAGAGGAAUGGGUAACCUUUUGAAAGUGCAUCGUGGUAGGGAUAGACUAUUGCAAUUAUUGGUCUUCAACGAGGAAUUCCUAGUAGACGUAGUUCAUCAGACUGCAUCGAUUACGUCCCUGCCCUUUGUACACACCGCCCGUCGCUCCUACCGAUUGAAUGCUCAGGUGAGCCAUUCGGACUUUCAUCAUGCUGGUUUCCAGUUUUGAUGAAGGAAAGUCUUGCGAACCUUAUCAUUUAGAGGAAGGAGAAGUCGUAACA